GCGAGUUCAGCUCUCUAAAACCAUUGCGAAAGACCCUGUAACGUUGCUUCGGCGGGGUCCCACCCGCCGGCAGUACCAAACUCUGAAACUAUUGCAUUCUCUGAGUAAACUUUUAAUAAGUAA
RNAcentral lists this unclassified non-coding RNA (123 nucleotides) under uncultured Ascomycota. Its description in RNAcentral is "sequence contains ITS1". The record is from RNAcentral. Lineage: Eukaryota; Fungi; Ascomycota.